CCGCCAAAAGGAAAAAUAGAAUUUGGGUUUUAUUUUCCCUCAAACUUCUAAAACCGCCAGAGACCAAAAAAUUGAAAAAAAAAUCCAAUCUUAAUUAGGUUUAAUUCUGAAAAUCUGUAAACUUUCAUCUUCCCCAACAAUUCAUCUGUAGGCCAACUUCUGAUAAAUCGCCGUCUGAUCUUGGCGAUCUUAAUUUCAAGUGCCAUCCAAUUCGCACUUCCAAUUUCAAGUUUCAAUGAAUUCGCGCUUCCAAUCUCGUGGUUAGAGUUGGGCCUUCGUCGCAUCAGAUUAAUCAGCUUCCAGAGUUUGAAUAGUUGGAGCAAGCAAUUGUUUAAGGGUGCUGAUUUAGUUAGAGUUCUCUCCUCCGACGCCCAAAUCCCACCUCCUUCGACUUUGACGACGACAUCUCCAUCAAUGGCGUCAAGCUCAACGCGCCAACAACUCCCCUAUCUUCGACAACGGAUGUUGAUGUAGUUAGAGUUGAAGUUGAUUGUAAUUUCGUCUUCGAUCUCAUUGUUUGUGAUGUUUAUCAGAUGAUCUGCAGUUGGGUUUUUUGUUCUGCAGUUCAGUAGUGUUGGUGUUGUCUGCUUUAUAUGCUGCAGCCUGGUUCAAUUAGAAGAAGGGGGCAUACACCAAAUUAGCAAUAGCGGAGCUCUUACUAAGUUACUAUUACGGUUUCCAUGAGGAUGGUUUCAAGGUAAUCAGUAAUGCAUACAAAAGGCCAAACAGAAGGGCACAUUUUUCUUCCAUUGAGAUUUCUCUGACGGUCAUGGCUAGGAAAUUCAACCAAGAGAAGAUGAUUUGUCGCAAGUCUAGCUGGAACUUGGAAGUAGUUAAAGAAAACUGACAUGAGGCUCGGUGAAGGUUAUAUCAGGGAAAGAGAGAAAACCAGAAAGAUCAUGCUCCAUGUAUUCGAACACAAGGUAUAUACUACAAGACACUUUAGAGGUUAUUAAACCAUGUAGCUUUAUUAUAUUUGGGUGAUCAAGCUUUCGUAGAAUUGUAAUUUCUCUUGCCAUAAACCAGACGCUUUUUGGUGAUAAUUGUCGAAUCUCACCUUCGUAGAAUUGUAAUUUCUCUUGCCAUAUUCUUCUGAAUGUUUUGAGCUAAGUU
This is a long non-coding RNA of Spinacia oleracea (spinach), 1113 nucleotides long. RefSeq lists it as uncharacterized. Lineage: Eukaryota; Viridiplantae; Streptophyta; Magnoliopsida; Caryophyllales; Amaranthaceae. The record is from RefSeq and is a predicted model, not a curated record. The transcript has 4 exons.